AGAGUUUGAUCCUGGCUCAGGAUGAACGCUGGCGGCGUGCUUAACACAUGCAAGUCGAACGAUGACCCCCAGCUUGCUGGGGUGAUUAGUGGCGAACGGGUGAGUAACACGUGAGUAACCUGCCCUUAACUCUGGGAUAAGCCUGGGAAACCGGGUCUAAUACCGGAUAUUUACCCCCGACCGCAUGGUGCGGGGGUGGAAAGCCUUGUGCGGUUUUGGAUGGACUCGCGGCCUAUCAGCUUGUUGGUGAGGUAAUGGCUCACCAAGGCGACGACGGGUAGCCGGCCUGAGAGGGUGACCGGCCACACUGRGACUGAGACACGGCCCAKACUCCUACGGGAGGCAGCAGUGGGGAAUAUUGCACAAUGGGCGAAAGCCUGAUGCASCGACGCCGCGUGAGGGAUGACGGCCUUCGGGUUGUAAACCUCUUUCAGUARGGAAGAAGCGAAAGUGACKGUACCUGCAGAAGAAGCGCCGGCUAACUACGUGCCAGCAGCCGCGGUAAUACGUAGGGCGCAAGCGUUAUCCGGAAUUAUUGGGCGUAAAGAGCUCGUAGGCGGUUUGUCGCGUCUGCCGUGAAAGUCCGGGGCUCAACCCCGGAUCUGCGGUGGGUACGGGCAGACUAGAGUGAUGUAGGGGAGACUGGAAUUCCUGGUGUAGCGGUGAAAUGCGCAGAUAUCAGGAGGGACACCGAUGGCGAAGGCAGGUCUCUGGGCAUUAACUGACGCUGAGGAGCGAAAGCAUGGGGAGCGAACAGGAUUAGAUACCCUGGUAGUCCAUGCCGUAAACGUUGGGCACUAGGUGUGGGGGACAUUCCACGUUUUCCGCGCCGUAGCUAACGCAUUAAGUGCCCCGCCUGGGGAGUACGGCCGCAAGGCUAAAACUCAAAGGAAUUGACGG
This 900-nucleotide ribosomal RNA is filed under the name uncultured bacterium. RNAcentral's name for it is "bacterial SSU rRNA". It matches the Rfam family "Bacterial small subunit ribosomal RNA", at positions 8 to 916 of the family's 1533-position model. The record is from RNAcentral.